This 293-nucleotide long non-coding RNA is filed under the name Fragaria vesca (wild strawberry). RNAcentral describes it as "long non-coding RNA (FVES_LNC003431)". Lineage: Eukaryota; Viridiplantae; Streptophyta; Magnoliopsida; Rosales; Rosaceae. The record is from RNAcentral.
CUGCUACUCAAACCAGAGAAAGAGAAGAGAACACUCAGAGUUAACAUACAAAGAUAAAGUCAUAAAACAGAUAGAUAAAAAACACAACAAAACCUCCCUAGCUAAUCUCAGCUCUAACUUUCUUGUUUGUUUCCUUCAUGGCCUAAUCUCAACCUUAACUUUCAGUUUGCUUUCUCCACAUGGAGUUUGAAAACCGUCUCCAAAUCCGGUGGGAUGAAGUACUCCCUCACCCCACUGAAGUUACACACCGACGCCGGUCGCCGCUUUCUUGGCGCCGCCGGGCACGAAAACGU